Molecule: unclassified non-coding RNA, 344 nt
Filed under: Hevea brasiliensis (rubber tree)
Lineage: Eukaryota; Viridiplantae; Streptophyta; Magnoliopsida; Malpighiales; Euphorbiaceae
Source: RNAcentral
AAGAACCCAGAAGCCAGAAUGCAAAGAUUUCACUUCAACAAUAGAUCUGCACCAUUUUGAACUGAAAUUCACACUAAGAGAACUAAGUUCAUGAAACUAAAAAUCAGACACCCAAUUUAAGAAACAGCGCCUUGAUCGGAGAAAACCCAGGCAGGCAAACUCACCGAGAACCAAGAUCAAGCACAUGCACACAAUCAAAGUAGUAAAAAAUCAAAUCCAAAAGUUACAAAACAGCAAAACAAAAACCCAAUUCACCAAACAGAAAUGCAAAAGCCAAAAUGCAGCAAAGAGAUCAGAAGAAGAGAAGCAAAAUGGCAUGAUGACGACCUCGAAUUUAGAAAGGG